UACGUAGGGGCCUAGCGUUGUCCGGAUUUAUUGGGCGUAAAGAGCUCGUAGGCGGUUUGGUAAGUCGAACGUGAAAUCCCCCGGGCUCAACCCGGGAACUGCGUCCGAUACUGGCAGGCUUGAAUCCGGGAGAGGGAUGCGGAAUUCCAGGUGUAGCGGUGAAAUGCGUAGAAUAUCUGGAGGAACACCGGUGGCGAAGGCGGCAUCCUGGACCGGUAUUGACGCUGAUGAGCGAAAAGCCAGGGGGAGCAAAACAGGG
This 259-nucleotide ribosomal RNA is filed under the name uncultured bacterium. RNAcentral describes it as "partial 16S ribosomal RNA". It matches the Rfam family "Bacterial small subunit ribosomal RNA", at positions 524 to 777 of the family's 1533-position model. The record is from RNAcentral.